AAUGCAAAUACCAUUCAAAAUGUAUCAAUAUUAGAAUCCACAUGGAUGGACAGCCUAGUCUCGCUAGUGGUCAGCGCCUGGAGUGGUCAUCGUAUUACAGUCCACAUAGCCAAGUAGACUGUGUUUUCCUGAACAUGUAGGAUGUCUUCAUACUGACUGUUGAUACUUGUGAAGUGCUGUCCAAUAGCAUGCAGAACUCAUUAAAGUCUUGCAGCCAAAUGUUGCGCUUUAGUCUUCAGUU
Non-coding RNA from Pelobates cultripes (western spadefoot toad), 241 nucleotides. Lineage: Eukaryota; Metazoa; Chordata; Amphibia; Anura; Pelobatidae. The record is from the annotation of a GenBank genome assembly.